Molecule: ribosomal RNA, 571 nt
Filed under: Pantoea dispersa
Lineage: Bacteria; Pseudomonadati; Pseudomonadota; Gammaproteobacteria; Enterobacterales; Erwiniaceae
Description: bacterial SSU rRNA
Rfam family: Bacterial small subunit ribosomal RNA
Source: RNAcentral
CUGGAAACGGUAGCUAAUACCGCAUAACGUCUUCAGGACCAAAGUGGGGGACCUUCGGACCUCACGCCACCGGAUGUGCCCAGAUGGGAUUAGCUAGUAGGUGGGGUAACGGCUCACCUAGGCGACGAUCCCUAGCUGGUCUGAGAGGAUGACCAGCCACACUGGAACUGAGACACGGUCCAGACUCCUACGGGAGGCAGCAGUGGGGAAUAUUGCACAAUGGGCGCAAGCCUGAUGCAGCCAUGCCGCGUGUAUGAAGAAGGCCUUCGGGUUGUAAAGUACUUUCAGCGGGGAGGAAGGCGGUGAGGUUAAUAACCUCGCCGAUUGACGUUACCCGCAGAAGAAGCACCGGCUAACUCCGUGCCAGCAGCCGCGGUAAUACGGAGGGUGCAAGCGUUAAUCGGAAUUACUGGGCGUAAAGCGCACGCAGGCGGUCUGUUAAGUCAGAUGUGAAAUCCCCGGGCUUAACCUGGGAACUGCAUUUGAAACUGGCAGGCUUGAGUCUCGUAGAGGGGGGUAGAAUUCCAGGUGUAGCGGUGAAAUGCGUAGAGAUCUGGAGGAAUACCGGUGG